CACACGACUCUCGGCAACGGAUAUCUCGGCUCUCGCAUCGAUGAARAACGUAGCGAAAUGCGAUACCUGGUGUGAAUUGCAGAAUCCCGCGAACCAUCGAGUCUUUGAACGCAAGUUGCGCCCGAGGCCAUUCGGCUGAGGGCACGCCUGCCUGGGCGUCAC
RNAcentral lists this ribosomal RNA (162 nucleotides) under Agrostis capillaris (colonial bentgrass). Its description in RNAcentral is "5.8S ribosomal RNA". It matches the Rfam family "5.8S ribosomal RNA". From Rfam's summary of the family: 5.8S ribosomal RNA (5.8S rRNA) is a component of the large subunit of the eukaryotic ribosome. It is transcribed by RNA polymerase I as part of the 45S precursor that also contains 18S and 28S rRNA. The record is from RNAcentral. Lineage: Eukaryota; Viridiplantae; Streptophyta; Magnoliopsida; Poales; Poaceae.